UUACAUGCAACGCUGCAAGCCCCCCCCAAAUAACGCCCCCCCGGCCGCAGCCCCCAGGCUCAGCUGUGCGCUUCCUAUGGAGGAAGCUGUGGUUGGGGCGGUGGGUGAAGCAGCUCUUUGUGCUGCGGGAUCACACCGCUAGCUGGUGAGAGGUUAUGGGGUAAUAGGGGGUAAUGGAAUGGGGUGAUGGGUAAUGGGUGGUAUGGUAAUGGGGUGAUAGGGGGCGAUGGGGGUGAUAUGGUAGUGAUGGGGGCUGAGUCUGGUGUAGAUGGGGUGGUAAUGGGUAAUUGAUGUGGUGAGGGUAAUGUUCGGGGUUGUGAUUAGGGGGUAAUGGGGUAAUGGGGUAAUGGGGUAAUGGGGUAAUGGGGGUAAUGGGGUAAUGGGGGGUAAUGGGGGGCGAUGGGUAAUGGGGGUAAUGGGGCGUAUGGGGGUAAUGGUAAUGGGGGCAAUGGGGGUAAUAGGGGUGAUGGGUAAUGAUAAUGGGGGGUUAUAGGGUAAUGGGGGGUAAUGGGAGGCUAUGGGGGGCAAUGGGGGGUAAUGGGGGGCAAUGGGGGUAAUGGGGGGUAAUGGGUGAUGGGGGGUGGUAGGGUUGGGAUGCAACACAGCGUGGGGCUGCAGUGUUGGUUGCAGUGUGGGGCUGCAAUGCGGGGUUGCAGUGUGAUGUUGCAGUGUGAUGUUGCAGUGUGGGGUUGCAGUGUUGGUUGCAAUGCGGGGCUGCAGUGUGAUGUUGCAGUGUGAUGUUGCAGUGCGGGGUUGCAGUGUUGGUUGCAACCUGGAUCCAUUCCCACCCUUCAGGCCUUCAGGUGCGCGGCCGACCUGCAGCCAGCGCUGCAGCUGGAGCUGCGGGGCUGCAGCGUGUCCUACAAGGAGAAGCGAGGCACAAAGCUGCAGCAUGCAUUGAAGGUGACGGCUGCAGCCGGUGAAGUGCUGCACAUCGGCUUCCCCUGCAGGCAGCAGGCGGAGGAGUGGAGGAAGGUGAUUGAGCAGGUCAGCAUUGCUCCCCCAAUGGGGCUGGCAGCCUGCAGCCCCCCGGCAUCGCCCUGCAGAGCAUUGGGCAGGGUGAGAAUCCCUUCCCUUUCCCUUUCCCUUUCCCUUCCCUUUCCCUUCCCUUUCCCUUCCCUUCCCUUCCCUUCCCUUCCCUUCCCUUCCCUUCCCUUCCCUUCCCUUCCCUUCCCUUCCUUCAUGCAAAGUGAGCAUUAAAAGAUUUUAUUUCCCUCCUCCCAGAGAGCAAAUAUUUUCAAAAUAUUACAUUCAAUUUAAGCUGUUGAGAUGUAAUAAAAGCAGUGAAUUUUGGCCA
This 1297-nucleotide long non-coding RNA is filed under the name Coturnix japonica (Japanese quail). RNAcentral's name for it is "lncRNA (ENSCJPG00005015134.1)". Lineage: Eukaryota; Metazoa; Chordata; Aves; Galliformes; Phasianidae. The record is from RNAcentral.